Misgurnus anguillicaudatus (oriental weatherfish) is the source of this 994-nucleotide long non-coding RNA. RefSeq lists it as uncharacterized. NCBI's taxonomy places the organism in Eukaryota, Metazoa, Chordata, Actinopteri, Cypriniformes, Cobitidae. The record is from RefSeq and is a predicted model, not a curated record.
CAAUGGGUUUCUGUGUAGUUCAGCAUUUAUAAAAUAUUUUUAUUAUUGUAAUUUGAUGAUUUUCUACUAUGCUAAUACAUUUAAAUGUCUUUGUACAUGUAAUAUGAUUAUAAACGCACACCCUUGCAUAGUUUAUUUGACUCGUCCAUGUACAGACGUUCAACGCAUCCUGUGGUAUGCGCAUGCGCGACGGUGCGCGGUACUAUUGUGAUGACGAAAUUUGCGCCUCAGGGGUCUCCGAGCUGUUGUGAGCAAGGGCUACCACCACAAUGGAUAUACCAAGCUGGAGGGCUACUUUUUGAUAUAGUCUACUCAAAACUUUUAUUGUUUUACUUGAUUUUAUUUUAUUAAAAUGUUAACAUACAUAAACGAAGCCAAGCAAAUAUACGCACGUGCGUUGUCGCGGUUACGCCUCUGGUCGGAACUUUACUUCCGGGUUCUGUUCUGACUAGUGGCUAAAAUGAACUCUGGAACAACCCCAUCAAAAAUAACAAAAUGUUUUGGUUACCUAAAGGGGGAGACGGCGAUCAUGGAUGUUUUAGCUAUGAAAUAAGAACUAAGGGGGUCUUUUCCGGUGUCUAUCUGCUUUCUGUUGUCCAUGAGCUGAGAGGCCACCAGUGUCAUGGAGAGCUUUAGUGUUUGGUGUGUUUGGAGCAGACAGCUUCGGAAUAUCAAUCAGUCGCUCCGAUUGAAGCAGCAGGAAAACUCAGAGACUCAUCUGAUGGCAGACUGAUGGAGAGACUGUGAACCUCAGCCAAAAGGGAUACAAACUCUGCCCUGGCCGCUCAUCUCUGAUUGGUGGUGAGUUAAAGGUCCAUCAGCAGCAUGCUCCAGAUUUAGAGAUGCAAGAAGAAGCAGCUGGGCGGUCUGAACAUGACUCUCCUUUCUCAUGGCUUUGAGGUGCAGCAAAUCACGUGAAACAUGUUCAGAUGUGUUCCCGUAUUAGACGGAUGUACUUAAAAUAUUUGUCUAAUGAUAAUCUAAGGAGUGGUUU